UACGUAGGGUGCAAGCGUUGUCCGGAAUUAUUGGGCGUAAAGAGCUCGUAGGCGGUUCGUCGCGUCGGCUGUGAAAACCUGAGGCUCAACCUCAGGCCUGCAGUCGAUACGGGCGGACUUGAGUACUGCAGGGGAGACUGGAAUUCCUGGUGUAGCGGUGAAAUGCGCAGAUAUCAGGAGGAACACCGGUGGCGAAGGCGGGUCUCUGGGCAGUAACUGACGCUGAGGAGCGAAGCGUGGGUAGCAAACAGG
Molecule: ribosomal RNA, 252 nt
Filed under: uncultured bacterium
Lineage: Bacteria
Description: partial 16S ribosomal RNA
Rfam family: Bacterial small subunit ribosomal RNA
Source: RNAcentral